GUUUUUCUUUCCGUCUUUUUUUGGGUUUCAUUCCCCACACUGUCUACACACUUGCACUGUAGUCGUAUAUCUCUCCAUAGGUUAAAGGUUCCAUGGAUUAAUCCGUGAUUCGAUGUUCCAGAAGGUUGAGGAAAUCGGCAUCAGAGAACUAAAGUUUGAUGCAAUAGAAUUGCCUACUGAAGCAUUCACAAAUAUACAUCGGGAUAGGAACAUCAACUUCGUGUUGGGAUCUACGACUCAUGUUGGGUGAAAUUCAAUUGUAGUCACAGACAAUUCCUUUUUGUUUCAUAUAUUUUUUUAUGUUAGACUAUGGUCAUAUUGUCUUUGUUUAGUAGUUUCCCGGAUCCUUUAUCUCAUUAUUUAUUUUAAUGCACAGAGUAUUUAUUUAGACGUAA
Molecule: long non-coding RNA, 395 nt
Organism: Ipomoea triloba (trilobed morning glory)
Lineage: Eukaryota; Viridiplantae; Streptophyta; Magnoliopsida; Solanales; Convolvulaceae
Exons: 2
Source: RefSeq, a predicted model, not a curated record